AUGGCUGCAGCCUCACACCGGCUUUCUACUUGUCGUGCCUCCAUCCGGCUCUGUGCCCCACAGCUGUCCAUGGUCACCGGACCCUCACUACUGCCUCACCGGUGCCCUCGGCUCUCUGACAGGCUGGAGUGGUGGAAGCGCUUGGCCCUGGAUUUGGACGUGGCCUGCAGUCCAGUUCCUCUCUGCCCACUUGCUGGAUCUCUGUGCAUCUCUCAUCCUGUUCCUUGGAGAUCUGGGACUGCUGAGAGGUCUCAAUGGACAGAGAUGGUGAAGCGCGCAGGAAGGGGGGCUGACUCGGAAACAGUCCUUGAACCCGCUGUCCAAACUUGUGUGCGCUCCCCCAUUCUCCUCCCAGAACCCAGGCCCCCAGCUCCCGACUGUCCCUCCCACAGUGGUUCUUUCUGCUCUGUUGGAAAGUUCCCCCACGGCCCUCCCUCCCACUGAAAGUGACUGUCCUGCCCUUGGGCUUGACCACGUCUGGGCUUUAUCUUUCCUAUUAGCCCAGGGCCACAGGGAUGUCUUACAUGGCUCAGACUCAUUUGACUCAGUAUUCACGCAACUCUACAAUAAUUAUUUGUCAAAUGCAGGACCCAAUGACUACGUCUUUUUUUUAUUUUUAUUUUUUUGAGAGAGAGACAGCCAGAGAGCACAAACAAGGGAAAUGGCAGAGGGAGAGGGAGAAGCAGGCUCCCCACUGAGCAGGGAGCCUGAUGCGGGGCUCGAUCCCAGGACCCUGGGAUCAUGACCUGAGCCGAAAGCAGAUGCCCAACCAGGCGUCCCCCCAACAACGACAUCUUAUCAGUUGGCAGAGUCAGCCCUGACUGGGGAAAACCCAGAGGAAGGAUGUGGAAGGUGAGAAGGGAAGGGCUUUGGUGCAGAGUAGGCAUCACCAAUGGGGCCAGUCUUUCUGGGGAUGCUGCUGCCAGUCCCCCGGCUGACUGACUGACUGAUCGAUCGAUUGGGCAGGUCCUGACAGAGGUGAAGCCUUCAAAGGCUCCGUGAAACUUGUCGACGCUACCAACCAGGUGCUCCAUUUUUACUGCAAGAGGCCUUUCCUCUUCCACGUGUAUAUAGAAACACAGACACCGCCCCCCCCCCCCCCCCCCCCCCACCUAGGGUGGCCAGUCCUAGCGUUCAUGGAGAUUUCCAGUUCUUUUUUCAGGACCAUGGGAAAGUUUCAUUUCCUGGCCUCUUGAAGAAAGGCUUGGCCAUGUGACUUGGUGAAUAAGCUGUGUGGUCUGAGCAGUGAGAAAUCAACUUGGUUGUGUUAAGCCACUGAGAUGUGGGGGUGUUACCAUAGCAUCACCUAACCGAAACUGACCAAUGCAUCCUAACUCCUUUUCUGGAACAAAACAGAAUACAAGCAAACUAGCCAACAGGCAGGCAGGCAGAUUGUUUCCUUUGAGACCAUGAGCCCUGAGAAUCUAGACUUUAUUCUUUUUUUUUUUAAGUUUUUAUUUAUUUAUUUGACAUAGAGACAGCCAGCGAGAGAGGGAACACAAGCAGGCGGAGUGGGAGAGGAAGAAGCAGGCUCCCAGCAGAGGAGCCUGAUGCGGGGCUCGAUCCCAGAACGCCGGGAUCACGCCCUGAGCUGAAGCAGAUGCUUAACGACUGCGCCACCCAGGCGCCCCUAGACUUUAUUCUUGAACAGUGAAUGGCAGGUCAAGCUGUCCUCAAAUCGAGGCUGGCACUCCAUCCAUGCGGACGGAGCAGACCACGGUGCGAGGCCAAGGUCCCAGCCCUUCCGUUAGGACUGGCCCAUUCAUUGUGCACACCUGCACCGCAGCCCUGGGAGCGGCAGACUGGAGACAACUCUCCGAGCCUUUGGGCCAUUCCACACCACUCCGAGGCGAUCCUGCUCCUCCCUGUGGAAGCCCUCCCUGCCUCCAGCCCCAGCUGUCCGGCCUCUUCCCCAGCCUGUAAGGUCCUCUGUCUCAUAUUCCCAAGUGGAUGGUCGAGGGUGGUCACAGCCUUCACGAGCACUGCCGUCUGCACCAGCAGGGGUUAAGGGGAGAGGGUGGGCGGAAGUGGGGUAAUAUGCACACACUUCAUAGGACUCGAAUGGAAAAAAAGUAACUUGUGUUUUUGACUCCCUGCUCUGAGCCCCAUUUCUGUUUUUCUAAAGAUUUGAUUUAUUUAUUUGACAGAAAGCGAGCAGCAGAGGAAGAGGGAGAAGCAGACUCCCUGCUGAGCAGGGAGCCAGAUGCAGGACUCGAUCCCAGGACCUGAGCCCAAGGCAGACGAUUCACCAGCUGAGCCCCCCGGGUGCCCCUGAGCCCUGUUUGUACUGAUGGCGAACUUGCUCUGUAAUGACGACGAUCUCUCUGGAUUUAUCUUAGUCUCUUCUGUGUCUUCCAUCUUUCAAAUUUCCUUCCUCUCCCCCUGCCUCAUCCUGCGUCAUCCCUGUUCCUGCUUCUCUGCCAGCAGAAGCCUGAGUGUUUGGGUCCCACCCUUGCAGAGGGAGCCCCUUGCCCAGGUUCAAGGAUCAAUCCCGACUUGUCUAAGCCAAUCCCAGCAGAGCCAUCUCCCUGCCUGGCCGGGGCUGUGCAUGGGACACAAAUUCUGACCUAGAGUUAGAGGGGCGGAUAUCUACCGGCCUUGUGACAUGCUGGAACAAAGAAACACAGGCAAAGAAAUGGAAUUUGUUAUCCAAACCUUCCCUGAAAGAAAAAUCCAGGCCUGGACAGUGUCUCAUAGGAACCCAGAGAAUAGAGGAGAAGGGGGAACACCGACCAUUCAGUUCCGUUUCCGAGGCCAGCGUAACCCAGGACAGACAGAAACUGACGAUUCCAGAAGAAAGUUAGAGACUGCUAGGCCAGGUGUAUAUGGACUUAAACAUCCUUGUCAAGUAUUAUCAGCAAAUCAAACCGAACGUCCUAUGAACAGAUAACACAUCGUGACAAAGCAGGAUUCAAUCCAGGAAUGCAAGGUUGUUUUAAUAUUUGAAAAUCUGCCAAUGCGUGCUUUUCUGGCUCUGCUUCCCUGCGGAUUGAAUCCUUACAUGUGUUUCACAGUGCAGUACUUUUUGGACGUUAGGAAAUUAUAUGACACCCCCAGCAGGCUCUGAGGCAGCCCUUCGUAAUCAAAUGCAUUAGUUAAUGCUUCUGCAACAGAGGAUAAAAAUAUUCUCACCCGGGAAGAUGAGUCAAGACUGCAGAUAGCCUCGGGACGCCCGGUUGGCCCGGAUGGUUUAGUGUCUGCCUUCUGCUCGGGUAAUGAUCUCAGAGUGCUAGGAUCGAGCCCCGCAUCGGGCUCCCUGCUCGGCAGGGAGUCUGCUUCUCCCUCUCCCCCUGCUUGUGCUCUCCUGCUCUCUCUGCCAAAUAAAUAAAUAAAAAUCUUUUUUUUAAAAAAAGAU
Molecule: long non-coding RNA, 3355 nt
Filed under: Ursus maritimus (polar bear)
Lineage: Eukaryota; Metazoa; Chordata; Mammalia; Carnivora; Ursidae
Description: lncRNA (ENSUMAG00000024210.1)
Source: RNAcentral